RNAcentral lists this ribosomal RNA (196 nucleotides) under uncultured bacterium. Its description in RNAcentral is "partial 16S ribosomal RNA". It matches the Rfam family "Bacterial small subunit ribosomal RNA", at positions 338 to 526 of the family's 1533-position model. The record is from RNAcentral.
CCUACGGGAGGCAGCAGUGGGGAAUAUUGGACAAUGGGGGCAACCCUGAUCCAGCAAUGCCGCGUGUGUGAAGAAGGCCUGCGGGUUGUAAAGCACUUUCAGUAGAGAAGAAAAGCCUACGGUUAAUACCCGUGGGUCUUGACGUUACCUACAGAAGAAGCUCCGGCUAGCUCCGUGCCAGCAGCCGCGGUAAUAA